Molecule: long non-coding RNA, 542 nt
Organism: Daphnia magna
Lineage: Eukaryota; Metazoa; Arthropoda; Branchiopoda; Diplostraca; Daphniidae
Exons: 3
Source: RefSeq, a predicted model, not a curated record
AACAUUUUCUUCGCUUUGGUCUGCCAUUUCCUUACCUGCUAGUAAUGGUGAUGGAAAUGGCUAGACAAAAGAUGAAAUAUGAUAAUGGUCAGAAGCUGAACAUAUUAGGAGUGGAACGAUGUUCGGAAGGUGACGGCGAACAGGAUGGCUGUGCACUUGCACAGUACGAUGAGUAACCAGUUCACGAAAAGGUUAAGAUGACAGUAAAUUUGUUGCGAUGAAGCUUCACGAUUCACAACUACUCAACACAUGCCGCGAUGAAAGACUACAUUGAAUGGAAGAAAGAGCUCCAUCAGUGAGACGAGUUUAUUUGGACUAGGUGGAGUAUUUGGAGUCUUCAAGAGUCGCACCGGCAUCCGUGUUUCUGCUUUCGUUCCAGCACAUUUCUAUGUCGGUAGCACGUUGGGCGUAUCAAAGGAAAAAUUAAGAAUGCCGAUCUGAAGAAAACAAACAUAAACGAGGUUGCAGAUUCCAUUUGGCAGGAGCUUGGUAUUCAGCGGUGUUUACUUAGUCAAAGUAUAAUACACGACUUUGCUAGAGAA